GAUCAUGGCUCAGGAUGAACGCUAGCUACAGGCUUAACACAUGCAAGUCGAGGGGCAGCAUGGUCUUAGCUUGCUAAGGCCGAUGGCGACCGGCGCACGGGUGAGUAACACGUAUCCAACCUGCCGUCUACUCUUGGACAGCCUUCUGAAAGGAAGAUUAAUACAAGAUGGCAUCAUGAGUCCGCAUGUUCACAUGAUUAAAAGGUAUUCUGGUAGACGAG
This 221-nucleotide ribosomal RNA is filed under the name uncultured bacterium. Its description in RNAcentral is "partial 16S ribosomal RNA". It matches the Rfam family "Bacterial small subunit ribosomal RNA", at positions 15 to 226 of the family's 1533-position model. The record is from RNAcentral.